This 871-nucleotide ribosomal RNA is filed under the name uncultured archaeon. RNAcentral describes it as "bacterial SSU rRNA". It matches the Rfam family "Archaeal small subunit ribosomal RNA", at positions 4 to 882 of the family's 1478-position model. The record is from RNAcentral.
CUGGUUGAUCCUGCCAGAGGUCACUGCUAUCGGGGUUCGAUUAAGCCAUGCGAGUCGAGAGGGUUCAGACCCUCGGCGGACUGCUCAGUAACACGUGGAUAACCUGCCCUAAGGUAGAGCAUAACCCCGGGAAACUGGGGAUAAUACUCCAUAGGUUAGAGAUACUGGAAUGUUCUUUAAUCGAAAGUUCCGGCGCCUUAGGAUGGAUCUGCGGCCGAUUAGGUAGUUGUUGGGGUAACGGCCCAACAAGCCUGUAAUCGGUACGGGUUGUGGGAGCAAGAGCCCGGAGAUGGAAUCUGAGACACGAUUCCAGGCCCUACGGGGCGCAGCAGGCGCGAAAACUUUACAAUGCAGGAAACUGUGGUAAGGGAACCCCGAGUGCCCGUAUACGCGGGCUGUCCGGGUGUAUAAAAAGCAUCUGAAGAAAGGGCCGGGCAAGACCGGUGCCAGCCGCCGCGGUAAUACCGGCGGCUCGAGUGGUGACCACUUUUAUUGGGCUUAAAGCGUUCGUAGCUGGACUCUUAAGUCUCUUGGGAAAUCCCGCGGCUCAACCGUGGGGCGUUUAAGAGAUACUGGGAGUCUAGGAACCGGGAGAGGUAAGAGGUACUUCGGGGGUAGAAGUGAAAUUCUGUAAUCCUCGAGGGACCACCGAUGGCGAAUGCAUCUUACCAGAACGGCUUCGACAGUGAGGAACGAAAGCUGGGGGAGCGAACGGGAUUAGAUACCCCGGUAGUCCCAGCCGUAAACGAUGCGCGUUAGGUGUACUGGUGACCACGAGUCACUGGGGUGCCGAAGGGAAACCGUGAAACGUGCCGCCUGGGAAGUACGGUCGCAAGGCUGAAACUUAAAGGAAUUGGCGGGGGAGCACCAC